AUUGAACGCUGGCGGCAUGCCUAACACAUGCAAGUCGAGCGGAUGAAGGGAGCUUGCUCCUGGAUUCCGCGGCGGACGGGUGGGUAAGUCCUAGGAAUCUGCCUGGUCUUUGGGGAUAACGUCCGUACACGGGCGCUAAUACCGCAUACGUCAUUAGGGUGAAAGGGGGGGAUCUUCAGAGCUCGCGCGAUCAGAUGAGCCUAGGACGGAUUAGCUAGUUGGUUGGGUAACGGCCUACCAAGGCGACGAUCCGUAACUGGUCUGAGAGGAUGAUCAGUCACACUGGAACUGAGACACGGUCCAGACUCCUACGGGAGGCAGCAGUAGGGAAUCUUGGGCAAUGGGCGAAAGCCUGACCCAGCAAUGCCGCGUGUGUGAAGAAGGUCUUCGGAUUGUAAAGCUCUGUAAGUUGGGAGGAAGGAAAGUAAAUGAAACCAUUGCUGUUUUGACGUUACCAAAAGAGUAAGCACCGGCUAACUUCGUG
This 484-nucleotide ribosomal RNA is filed under the name uncultured bacterium. RNAcentral's name for it is "partial 16S ribosomal RNA". It matches the Rfam family "Bacterial small subunit ribosomal RNA", at positions 30 to 507 of the family's 1533-position model. The record is from RNAcentral.